Molecule: ribosomal RNA, 497 nt
Filed under: uncultured bacterium
Lineage: Bacteria
Description: partial 16S ribosomal RNA
Rfam family: Bacterial small subunit ribosomal RNA
Source: RNAcentral
GAUGAACGCUGGCGGCGUGCCUAAUACAUGCCAGUCGAGCGAACAGAUGAGGAGCUUGCUCCUCUGACGUUAGCGGCGGACGGGUGAGUAACACGUGGAUAACCUACCUAUAAGACUGGGAUAACUUCAGGAAACCGGAGCUAAUACCGGAUAAUAUAUUGAACCGCAUGGUUCAAUAGUGAAAGACGGUUUUGCUGUCACUUAUAGAUGGAUCCGCGCCGCAUUAGCUAGUUGGUAAGGUAACGGCUUACCAAGGCAACGAUGCGUAGCCGACCUGAGAGGGUGAUCGGCCACACUGGAACUGAGACACGGUCCAGACUCCUACGGGAGGCAGCAGUAGGGAAUCUUCCGCAAUGGGCGAAAGCUUGACGGAGCAACGCCGCGUGAGUGAUGAAGGUCUUCGGAUCGUAAAACUCUGUUAUUAGGGAAGAACAAAUGUGUAAGUAACUAUGCACGUCUUGACGGUACCUAAUCAGAAAGCCACGGCUAACUACGUG